This 390-nucleotide ribosomal RNA is filed under the name uncultured bacterium. RNAcentral describes it as "bacterial SSU rRNA". It matches the Rfam family "Bacterial small subunit ribosomal RNA", at positions 30 to 420 of the family's 1533-position model. The record is from RNAcentral.
AUUGAACGCUGGCGGCAUGCCUUACACAUGCAAGUCGAACGGUAACGGGUCCUUCGGGAUGCCGACGAGUGGCGAACGGGUGAGUAAUAUAUCGGAACGUGCCCAGUAGUGGGGGAUAACUGCUCGAAAGAGCAGCUAAUACCGCAUACGACCUGAGGGUGAAAGGGGGGGAUCGCAAGACCUUGCGCUGAUUGAGCGGCCGAUAUCAGAUUAGCUAGUUGGUGAGGUAAAGGCUCACCAAGGCGACGAUCUGUAGCGGGUCUGAGAGGAUGAUCCGCCACACUGGAACUGAGACACGGUCCAGACUCCUACGGGAGGCAGCAGUGGGGAAUUUUGGACAAUGGGCGCAAGCCUGAUCCAGCCAUGCCGCGUGAGUGAAGAAGGCCUCGG